GCCGCCAUAGCUCAGUGGUUAGAGCACUGGUCUUGUACUCCAGGGGUUGUGAGUUCAAUUCUCAAUAGUGGCA
Araneus ventricosus is the source of this 73-nucleotide non-coding RNA. The record is from the annotation of a GenBank genome assembly. NCBI's taxonomy places the organism in Eukaryota, Metazoa, Arthropoda, Arachnida, Araneae, Araneidae.